RNAcentral lists this long non-coding RNA (423 nucleotides) under Lingula anatina. RNAcentral describes it as "uncharacterized LOC106165080, transcript variant X2". Lineage: Eukaryota; Metazoa; Brachiopoda; Lingulata; Lingulida; Lingulidae. The record is from RNAcentral.
ACAAGACAGCCCUAUUGUUGUUGAAUCUACAAGCGAGGUGAGCAAUCACUCUGUAGUUUUCUCGAGUUUUGGGUGCUUGUACCAGCUCCUCGAAGUAUUAUUCAUCAUAAGCGAAUAAUAAGGGAGACAUGGAAUGCAGCUGCAUGAGGUAGCAGAGCAAAAAGAAUAAAUAAAAAGCCACAUACCAGGAGCAUUAUACUAUUAUAUCAUCAGGGUGAGAGAGAAAGAGAGAAGAUGGAGAGGUUGACGCAGGCAGGAGUCAUCUUCCUCAUUCUCCAGAGCCUGCUCAUUAAAGGUGGGAGGAGUGAAAUGCCCUUCAUCACAGCCCACGCCUGCGAGGGUUCCUACUUGGACCUGAAGUGUUCGAAUGAGACCCUGGUGCUGCACAUUAUACGGGCCAACUAUGGCCGCUUGUCCAACUCA